Molecule: long non-coding RNA, 3379 nt
Organism: Camelus dromedarius (Arabian camel)
Lineage: Eukaryota; Metazoa; Chordata; Mammalia; Artiodactyla; Camelidae
Exons: 2
Source: RefSeq, a predicted model, not a curated record
UGCCAAACCGCCACUCUGCCCUGGGGAGUGGAAACCGCGUCAGCAGAGGAGGAAAUGACAGCUUUGUGGAGCAGCCUGGCCUGAGUGACAAAACCGGGUCUGUCUGGUCCCGGCUCUGGCCAUGAGUCACUGGCUAUUUUUACUUCUAAGGCUGGAGCUUCAGCUUAAUCGGGGGCUCCUGUUUCCUGGCUGAUGAAGCAGAUGGAAGGAACAUGAUCUGGCCACACAGAGGCCUCUGCAAAAUGCAGGGUGCCUGGGGCGCUGGGGGGACGCUGACGGCGAGCCCAGCGCGGCCAGGCGGACACCAGCUCCGUGUUCUGGGGCCUCACAGGCACCGUGUGGCCUUCGUCUUCAUCUUCCUGUUGGUUUCUUGUGCUGAUCUCUCAGCAGCGUGGGGAAGUGUGCAACCAGAGCUCUCUUUUCCAGUGCGAGAUCAACCACUGAUUAAUUUUCCAUCAACAUCUGCAUGAUAUUGGAGAUACCCACCAGAGGACACUUGGAGCCUCCCCCACGUGGCAGUGGGUACCAGCCCAGGUCCACUGAGCCCCACUGGCUUCUUGGCACUCCUCAGGUGUCCUGGGGAGUUUUCCUAUCCACACACCAUUGCUUUAAGUGAAGAGCCCUCCAAUUUCAUUCUAGCUGUUUUAUCUUAAGACUUAGCGUCUGCAGGGGCACAGGUAUACGUCCUAGGCAGGGGCUUAGAGGGAUUUGGGCGGGAAGCCCAGAGAAAUAUAGGUGGCUGGGCUUUUGUUAAAUCUGGCUCAAAUUGAAAAAAAAAAGUUGAUAUAUGGUCUGAACAAAAUUUUUGCUAGCAAAAUUAAAGACUGAAUUAAUUCAGCUCUGAAGAACAAGGGACACGUGCUCCUUCCAGGCACAAGGUGUGCGCAGGUGACUGAGAACCUAGUGGAAGUGUCUGAGGCUCAAUCCUUGUGAUGUGGAGCGGUCCUACAGGUGAACCCCACUACAGCCAUCAAGUAAGUACAGCUCUUCCGGGGCCACGUGAUAUAAAGACCGAUCAUCUUGUGCUCCGAGCGCCCACAGCUGUUUUAGACCAUUGGAGGAAGAAACUGAGACACAUAAAAGAGUCGAACUUGGGGAGUGGGACUCAGACGCAGCACACAUCUGACCCACUACAUUGUCCUCAGAAAGUGGUUCCAAUCAUGUUUCAUAUCUGAAUCAGGCUACCAAAUUGACAAUGGGAAAUUGUGCCUCAAAGGCCAAACAGCUUCUGGACACACGGACACCUAUGGGAAUACCGGCUGGGCUUAUGUAUGCUUGCAAGCAGUUAAUUGGGAAUUAAAGGAAAUCCCACCCAGAAAUGGCCAAGCUGGGGUGUCAGUCUCCUGGAUCCCUGCCUGCAGGGUCUCCUGAAAACUAGAAUGGCAUUUAUUUCAGUUGACAUAUGUAUGCUGUAGAUAUGUGGUAUUGCCAAAAUUAAUUUGUGAGAGAGCUCUACUUAAUUGGACUAAAUAAAAUUAAGUAUUUAAAUAAGUACUCAGAAAUAUAAAAGAAACUAACCCAAAUGAAUUUUGGGACCAUUUAAUCUAGGAUUAAUUUUAAUGAAUGAAAACAAGUUUGUUGGUUUAAUUAAUACAGACAUGUCUUUAGAGUCAUCAACAUUAAGUGUAAUACUUUCAUGUAGGUUUACAAGAAAUCAAAUAAGGUCUUAUUAUUCCUGUUACAAAAUUUGUCAGCAAAAAAUAACUUGAUAUGAUGAAACUUUUAGGUAAAUAAAAUAGAGAUAAAUGAGAAGAGAUUUUAGGAAACCUCUUUAGGAAUAAUUAUGUUUGAGGAAUGUCUAUUCAAAAUAGUCUCUGCAGAUUUUGUUAACUUGAAACUAUAUAGUUUUGCUAAGUUAAAGUAAAUAAUGGGAAUUCAUUGACUAUCCAGAUCAUUUCCAAAUAAGAUACUAGAACAUUAGUUACUGAAUGUAGGCUUCCUUUUACAGAGAAACUAAAGAUAUUUAGGACUAUUAAUAAAUAUGUUUGAUGCCACACUAAGACAUUUUCUGUUAAAAAAAAAAAAGCACAUGUUUUCUAGAAACCAUACGUAGUAUUUAAAAAGUUUGCUUAUCUAUAGAAUGCUAAUAUAAAAAACAGUUCAUAAUUACUUCCUUUUUAGUUUUUACUAGAAACUAAGGUUUUACAGUUAAAAAUUCUAAUUAAAAUAUGUAAUUAAAACUACUAAAAUUUAAGAAAGAAAACAUCUUUGUAUGCAAGAAAAAAGAAGGUAUGAAGAAUGGAAAUGCAGUUUGUUAAGGGAAAAUCAAGGAAUUUUGUCCUAGAACUGGUUGUUUCUGGAUGGAAAAGAAAAUAAGGGACAAAAUUAUACGGAUACAGAAAGGUAUGGAAGAUUUAUGGAAAAGGCAACACUGGGAAAACAAUUUUGUGCAUGGCCAGGUUAGCACUGGAUUGAAUUAAGUAAAUAAAUUUUGUUAUUAAGAGCAACUGAUGUAAGACUGUUAUUUUCUCUCUAUUAAGAGAAAGUUUUCUUAGAAUAUUGAGCUGCUUUUGAUAGCAGAUCAUGAGUUUCUUUGCCUUUUAUCUAUCGCAAACUUUGAAAUCUUUUGUCAUUUAGUUAAGUGCGUAAGUAUUGUUCCACAGCGACUUAUGACCCUAUUUGACCAGGUGUUUUAAAAUUUUGAUAUUUUGCACAAAAGUUCUUUUGACCUCUAGCUAACAUUGGGAUGCUUCAGAGGCAGCCCCUGAAGCAUCUCAGAGAGAAGAAUAUUAAACUAAUUAGGCUUUAUUUAGUAUGUUAAAUUAUAAGGGAAGCAUUGUAAAAUGAGUGGUGAUAAACCUUCUUAGGCUAUAUUGUAUGAGUAAAUGUCAUUAAUAUAAAUGUUUUGGAAAUUAUAUGGAAUUUCUAAAAGUUGAAAAUGUCCUGGUAAAAUGUUAUCAGUCAGAAUUCUAGUAAUUAUCUUAAAAUGUAUGCCACAGCAAUAAUGAAGUUUCUUUAUCUGUUGCAUUGUAAUCAGAUCUUUAACUUUGCCUUUUUAAGUCUUCUGUCAUUUACAGACAAUUAUUGUUCUACUCUGAUGCUUUAGAAAAAAAAAAGCUUCAUCUUAAAAAAGAUUCCUAAAAAGGACUUUUUGACAAGUAUAGGUUUCUGAUAACUUUCAGAUGAUACUGCUGAAAUGGGUAAGAAAUUAAAGAAUUCUAAUGGAAAAACUGAUGGCUUCAUAAAACUUAAGAGAAAAUUGAGGUGAAGAAUUAGUCACAUAGGACUGAGCAAACGGAUGAAUAUGGUUAUACUACAUUUUUGUCUGAAAUUCUGCUGGUUUUUAAUCUGUGUUAUCCAGAUAGGGAAAUUUUUCCCCUCAAAUUAAUUAUGACUUACUGCAAUUUGAUAAAUUAUACCUUUGUAAGAAGAAUUAAAA